Raphanus sativus (radish) is the source of this 1218-nucleotide long non-coding RNA. RefSeq lists it as uncharacterized. The record is from RefSeq and is a predicted model, not a curated record. Lineage: Eukaryota; Viridiplantae; Streptophyta; Magnoliopsida; Brassicales; Brassicaceae. The transcript is spliced from 5 exons.
UUCGCACACACCAAGCAGAAAGAAAAAAUGGAAACCACUUAAGCUGGUGUCUAAAUUUAAUUUUUGAAAAUAAAAUAGGCUUACAAAAAUCGUUUUGUUUAUGUCCAAUUUACCGUAUAAACCGGCGGUUAGAUGCCGCCAAAACUGAUUUCUUAAACAUCGCCAAUGAUUAUUGGAAGUUUAUGAAGCAUAGUUUAAUUAUGGCAGGUGAUAAUUGCAUGUAACAAAGACCCUUAUAGCCCAAUUAAGCUUAAUUUGGGAGUUGGUGCUUACCGAACUGAGAUGGAGAAACAAACAUGCCCUAGUUCUUAAUGUUGUGAGGAAAGCUGAGCAGCAGCUUAUCAAUUACAGGUCACGAAUCAAGGAGUAUCUUCCCAUUGUUGGAUUGGUUGAGUUCAACAAGUUGAGCGCUAAGCUCAUUUUAGGCGCUGAUACAAUGUUGUCUCUGAUUAUCCUUUUUUUAUGUUUUCAUAAGUUUCUUUUUGAUCGGUGUUUUCACGCAUGGAUUAGUAUUCGGGAGAAUCGGAUUGCAACAGUAGAGUGUUUGUUGGUAUGGUACAGGUUCCAUGAGAGUUGGAGGGGAGUUUUUGGCCAAGCAUUAUCAUCAGAGUACAAAUUUAUAUUACUCAGCCAACAUGGAGAAACCAUCCCAAUUUUUUUUCACACUGGCUGGUUUGUCACUGAAAACUUACCGCUACUACGAUCCGUCAACACGUGGGUUGAACUUUCAAGGUUUAUUAGAAGACCUUGGUGCCGCGCCACCUGGUUCUAUAGCCUGUGCUCAUAACCCAACUGGUGUUGAUCCGACCCUCGAACAACGGGAACAAAUCAGGCAGUUGAUUCGCUCAAAAGGAUUGAUGCCAUUCUUUGAUAGUGCCGUAUCAGGUACACCUGCUGUAUAACAUCAGUUGUUAGGUAUGUUUACAUUCACGGGGUUAGACCCAGCUCAAGUCUCCUUCGUGGCUAAAGAGUACCGUACCACAUUUACAUGACAUCCGACGGGAGGAUAAGCAUGGCUGGUCUGAGCUCCAAGACUGUACCUCACCUUGCAGACUCUAUUCACGCCGUUGUUACCAAACAUGUCCGAAACAUCUCACGCCCUCGGUCGGUCCUAAUUAAGAUAUCAUCGAGAAGAUAAAUGUCGUUACUAUCAUUUUUUUUCACUAUAAUCCCAUUGAUUAAUAAAUUACGCAAGAGAGUUGCGCCUCUUCUACUAUA